RNAcentral lists this ribosomal RNA (253 nucleotides) under uncultured bacterium. RNAcentral describes it as "partial 16S ribosomal RNA". It matches the Rfam family "Bacterial small subunit ribosomal RNA", at positions 524 to 776 of the family's 1533-position model. The record is from RNAcentral.
UACGGAGGGAGCUAGCGUUGUUCGGAAUUACUGGGCGUAAAGCGCACGUAGGCGGCUUUUUAAGUCAGGGGUGAAAUCCCGGGGCUCAACCCCGGAACUGCCCUUGAAACUGGAGAGCUAGAAUCUUGGAGAGGCGAGUGGAAUUCCGAGUGUAGAGGUGAAAUUCGUAGAUAUUCGGAAGAACACCAGUGGCGAAGGCGACUCGCUGGACAAGCAUUGACGCUGAGGUGCGAAAGCGUGGGGAGCAAACAGG